UGGUGGAGUGAUUUGUCUGGUUAAUCCGUCAACAAACGAAACCUUAACCUGCUAAAUAGUUACGCGUAACUUCGGUUACGCGGGCAACUUCUUAGAAAGACUUUGUGUGUCUAACGCAAGGAAGUUUGAAGCAAUAACA
RNAcentral lists this ribosomal RNA (139 nucleotides) under uncultured eukaryote. RNAcentral's name for it is "partial 18S ribosomal RNA". It matches the Rfam family "Eukaryotic small subunit ribosomal RNA", at positions 1299 to 1458 of the family's 1831-position model. The record is from RNAcentral.